This 87-nucleotide transfer RNA is filed under the name compost metagenome. RNAcentral's name for it is "tRNA-Ser". The record is from RNAcentral.
CGCUCGGGGCGGUCGGCACGCGGCGGGCGCUCAGGGCGCUCGGGUCGAUCCGCGCGCGGCGGGCGCUCGGCGCGCUCGGGGCGGCCA